UGGGAAAACUAGGCCUGAGCUCAGA
This 25-nucleotide non-coding RNA is filed under the name Mus musculus (house mouse). The record is from RNAcentral. Lineage: Eukaryota; Metazoa; Chordata; Mammalia; Rodentia; Muridae.